GAUGAACGCUGGCGGCGUGCUUAACACAUGCAAGUCGAACGGACAGACGCGGCUCUUGCUCGUCUCUCGUUAGCCGCGGGCGUGUGAAUCACACGUGUAUCCCCUCCCUAUCUGUCUGAUAUCUCUACGGAACUCCGGCUAUUAUCCCGUAUAAUCUAUUGAACCAUGUGGUUCGAUAGUAAAUUACGGCUUUGCUGUCACGACUCGAUGCUUACGGGCCGGAUUAGCUAGUUGUUAAGUUAACGGCUUACCAAGGCGACGAUGCGUAGCCGAACUGAGAGGGUGAUCGGCCACACGGGAACUGAGACACGGUCCAGACUCCUACGGGAGGCAGUAGUAGGGAAUCUUCCGCAAUGGGCGAAAACCUGACGGAGCGACGCCGCGUGAGUGAUGAAGGUCUUCGGAUCGUAAAACUCUGUUAUUAGGGAAGAACAAAUGUGGAAUUAAACAUGGAGGGCUUGACGGUACCGGAUCAAAAAGCCACGGCUAACUACGUG
RNAcentral lists this ribosomal RNA (497 nucleotides) under uncultured bacterium. RNAcentral's name for it is "partial 16S ribosomal RNA". It matches the Rfam family "Bacterial small subunit ribosomal RNA", at positions 28 to 507 of the family's 1533-position model. The record is from RNAcentral.